Artibeus jamaicensis (Jamaican fruit-eating bat) is the source of this 129-nucleotide small nucleolar RNA. RefSeq annotates it as small nucleolar RNA SNORA63. The transcript has a single exon. The record is from RefSeq and is a predicted model, not a curated record. Lineage: Eukaryota; Metazoa; Chordata; Mammalia; Chiroptera; Phyllostomidae.
UAGCAGGAGUCAAACAAUGUAGCUGUGAAGUGCUGUGCUGUUGUUCCCCCUGCUCAAAAUGUAGUUAUGUCUUAACUACACUUGUCUGCUAUACUCCUGUAGCUGCCAGAGACACUUGAUCUCUUACAU